RNAcentral lists this ribosomal RNA (374 nucleotides) under uncultured organism. RNAcentral's name for it is "partial 16S ribosomal RNA". It matches the Rfam family "Bacterial small subunit ribosomal RNA", at positions 527 to 896 of the family's 1533-position model. The record is from RNAcentral.
GUAGGGGGCAAGCGUUAUCCGGAUUUACUGGGCGUAAAGCGCGUGCAGGCGGCUUGGUAGGUUGGACGUGAAAGCUCUCGGCUCAACUGAGAGAGGCCGUUCAAUACCGCCAGGCUUGAGGGCGGAAGAGGAGAGUGGAAUUCCCGGUGUAGUGGUGGAAUGCGUAGAUAUCGGGAGGAACACCCGUGGCGAAGGCGGCUCUCUGGUCCGUACCUGACGCUAAAGCGCGAAAGCGUGGGGAGCAAACGGGAUUAGAUACCCCGGGUAGUCCACGCUGUAAACGAUGGAUGCUAGGUGUAGGUGGUAUUGACCCCCAUCUGUGCCGUAGCUAACGCGAUAAGCAUCCCCGCCUGGGGACUACGGCCGCAAGGUUA